NNNNNNUGCACUGUUCAUAUCUAACGCUUGACCGUUCGUCUUAUUUGAAAAAAAUUAUAAUUAGUAUUUUUAUUGUUAUUGGAUGAUAAAACAUGAACAAUACCUUAUGUGAGACUAUUUUUUUAAAAAUAUAAAAUUUUUAAAUAAGACUAACGGUCAAACGUUAGACACAAAUACCCACGACUGUAUUUAUU
This is a non-coding RNA of Oryza meridionalis, 194 nucleotides long. Lineage: Eukaryota; Viridiplantae; Streptophyta; Magnoliopsida; Poales; Poaceae. The record is from Rfam.